UAGGAGUGCUUCCUGUGGCAGGCAGAUUGAUGGCCCCCCAAAGAUGCUGGCAUCCUGGUCCCUGGGACCUAGAAAUACGUUAGAUUAUGGCAAAGGGAAGUUCAAGCUGCAGAUGGGAUUAAGGUUGUUAAUCAGCGGACCUGAAAAUAGGACAAGUGUCCCGAAUAAUCCAGGUGGACCCAGUGUAAUCAAAGGGUCUUUAAAAGUGGGAGAGGGACGCAGAAGAGAGAGAGGGGGCUGCUGAAGAGAUACAUAGGGGUGCCAUGUGGCGGGCUUUGAGGCUAGAGGAAGGGGCCAUGAACCAAGGGAUGUGAGCAGCCCCCAGGAGCUGGGCAGGGCGCAGAAACGGCUUCUCCACUCGAGCCCCAGAAAGGAAUGUAGCCCUGCUUGCCCCUUUGAUUUCAGCCCAGUGAGCCCGGCGUCAGCCUUGGAACCUUCAAAACCGUAAGCCAAAACAUCACGGGGGAGAACUCCAGGCUCCAGAAAGCCGUGCCUAUGAAUACGAACACAGCCUGCCCUACUGAUAACAGAUGUGGUUAUAAUGGGAGCUGAGUGAACAGAAACACAUUUCCCCACCUCCAAACCUCAAGCACAUUUUUCAUCAUCUGCAACAGACUGAAACGCUGGCUCAGAGCAGCUGCUUUUCUUUGCUCAUUUGUGGACAUUACUUCAAGCCCUUGUUGGGAAAGGAGAAUGUGAGGUCUCCACUGGCAAGGAUCCGAGAGAUGGCGGGACUGAAGAAUAUAUCCCUCUCCCUUACUUAUAGGAACUGCUUUGGGGCUGGUGCUACAAAGGCCUUUUGGUCUACCCGAAGCAUCCCUGAGAUAACACUAAGUCCACAUUUCUCAGAGAAAGGUUCCAGAAAGCUGAGUAUUGCUGAGCUGAGCCUUAACAGUCUUAUGACUGAUGCCUUGGCCAAAACCACCUCCAUAAUACUCAGCCACGAACUUCAUCUUGUGUUAGUGCAAAACCACAGACCAUCUGGAAACAGCCUUGAGGAACUCAUGCAAUAAGAGACCGAACCCCAAAACUUUAUGCUCCCAGAGACAAGCCACCCACAAUUGAUCACUUUGUCAACUUUGACAGCUUUUCUGGAAAAGACAUUGAGAAAUGACUGCAUGAGGAGUGCGUACUAAGUCAGCAGAAGAGGCCUGAUCUGAGCCUCUGGCUUCCAAUCUUGCACUUAAUAAACUAGUCCAGCCACC
Molecule: long non-coding RNA, 1205 nt
Organism: Felis catus (domestic cat)
Lineage: Eukaryota; Metazoa; Chordata; Mammalia; Carnivora; Felidae
Exons: 2
Source: RefSeq, a predicted model, not a curated record